AAGUCGUAACAAGGUUUCCGUAGGUGAACCUGCGGAAGGAUCAUUAAAAAUAUAACCGGACCGGUUCGUUGCUUGCAGCGGGCUGCGAAGGGAGAUAUUAUAUACCCUGUACUUACCUACCUUUGUUGCUUUGGCGGGUCGUCCGUUCAGGCGUCGGCCCCGGCCGAUCGUGCCCGCCAGAGGACCCAAACUCUUUUAUUAGUGAUGUCUGAGUACUAUACAAUAGUUAAAACUUUCAACAACGGAUCUCUUGGUUCUGGCAUCGAUGAAGAACGCAGCGAAAUGCGAUAAGUAAUGUGAAUUGCAGAAUUCAGUGAAUCAUCGAAUCUUUGAACGCACAUUGCGCCCGCUGGUAUUCCGGCGGGCAUGCCUGUCCGAGCGUCAUUAUGACCAAUCAAGCUCUGCUUGGCCUUGGGGCCUGCUAUACCAGCGGCUCUUAAAACCAGUGGCGGUGCCGUCUGGCUCUAAGCGUAGUAAUUCUCCUCGCUAUAGGGCUCUAGACGUCCACCCGCCAGAACCCCCAAACUUCUCAGGUUGACCUCGGAUCAGGUAGGGAUACCCGCUGAACUUAAGCAUAUCAAUAAGCGGAGGAAAAGAAACCAACAGGGAUUGCCUUAGUAACGGCGAGUGAAGCGGCGACAGCUCAAAUUUGAAAUCUGCCUCUAGGCCGAGUUGUAAUUUGUAGAAGAUGCUUCGGGUGUGGCACCGGUCUAAGUUCCUUGGAACAGGACGUCAUAGAGGGUGAGAAUCCCGUACGUGACUGGCCGCCUUCGCCCGUGUGAAGCUCUUUCGACGAGUCGAGUUGUUUGGGAAUGCAGCUCAAAAUGGGUGGUAUAUUUCAUCUAAAGCUAAAUAUUGGCCAGAGACCGAUAGCGCACAAGUAGAGUGAUCGAAAGAUGAAAAGCACUUUGGAAAGAGAGUUAAACAGUACGUGAAAUUGUUGAAAGGGAAGCGCUUGCAACCAGACUUGCGCGCUGUCGAUCAUCCGAGGUUUUCCCCGGUGCACUCGGCGGCGUUCAGGCCAGCAUCGGUUUCAGUGGUUGGAUAAAGGCCUUGGGAAUGUGGCUCCUCCGGGAGUGUUAUAGCCCUCGGUGCAAUGCAGCCUACUGGGACCGAGGACCGCGCUUCGGCUAGGAUGCUGGCGUAAUGGUUGUAAGCGACC
RNAcentral lists this ribosomal RNA (1162 nucleotides) under uncultured Helotiales. Its description in RNAcentral is "eukaryotic LSU rRNA". The stretch from base 536 to 1162 matches the Rfam family "Eukaryotic large subunit ribosomal RNA", at positions 1 to 649 of the family's 3401-position model. Lineage: Eukaryota; Fungi; Ascomycota; Leotiomycetes; Helotiales. The record is from RNAcentral.